AAUCUGGGACCUUACAGGCCAAGUCUUGCCUGGAGGAGACAAGUCUCCGGAUAAGACCCUUCGUUGCAACUUUCCAGCCAGACAGCAGCCUCCGCAUUAACUUUUCACCUACUGCAAUGAGGAUGGAUGCAGCCACGGGGUACCCGAAGUGCCAACCUCGAAGUCAGAGCCCAAUGGCCGGAUGUGUCCAUCAUGCGUAGAGUUGGGAGGGAAGAAGUGUAAGAGCACCAAAAUGAUACCCUGUACCGGCGAUGAAGAUCAGUGUAUCGAGUUCACUGGGAUUCUAGUAGCUGGUAACGUUACGCUCCUCAAGUCUGCGUUUGGCUGUGGCUCUCCCGGGAUCUGUGAUAAGAGAUUUGGGGUGACCAAGUACACCAGAAACACCUUUGAUAUCCUCACCAAUGUUGCCUGCUACCCAGCUCCCCAUCACGUCUGACUGGGGACCCUGCCACUCUCCUGAGCCUGGAAGCCCCUUCCCGCCAGCCAUAAGUGGCUACGGUUUCUCUCACGGCAUGUUUCACAGCGGUGUUUCAUGGCACCACAUUGGCUGAA
Molecule: long non-coding RNA, 552 nt
Organism: Alligator sinensis (Chinese alligator)
Lineage: Eukaryota; Metazoa; Chordata; Crocodylia; Alligatoridae
Exons: 3
Source: RefSeq, a predicted model, not a curated record